This 373-nucleotide ribosomal RNA is filed under the name uncultured organism. Its description in RNAcentral is "bacterial SSU rRNA". It matches the Rfam family "Bacterial small subunit ribosomal RNA", at positions 526 to 896 of the family's 1533-position model. The record is from RNAcentral.
CGUAGGGUGCAAGCGUUGUCCGGAAUUAUUGGGCGUAAAGAGCUCGUAGGCGGUCUGUCGCGUCGGAUGUGAAAACCCGGGGCUUAACCCCGGGCCUGCAUUCGAUACGGGCAGACUCGAGUGUGGUAGGGGAGACUGGAACUCCUGGUGUAGCGGUGAAAUGCGCAGAUAUCAGGAAGAACACCGGUGGCGAAGGCGGGUCUCUGGGCCACUACUGACGCUGAGGAGCGAAAGCGUGGGGAGCGAACAGGAUUAGAUACCCUGGUAGUCCACGCCGUAAACGUUGGGCGCUAGGUGUGGGGGACUUUCCACGUCCUCCGUGCCGCAGCUAACGCAUUAAGCGCCCCGCCUGGGGAGUACGGCCGCAAGGCUA